CCUACGGGCGGCAGCAGUAGGGAAUUUUCGUCAAUGGGCGCAAGCCUGAACGAGCGAUGCCGCGUGCGUGAAGAAGGCCUUCUGGUCGUAAAGCUCUUUUGCGGGGGAAAAAAGGCAACAUCAGGAAAUGUGUGCUGACUGAUGGUGCGCCGACAGACAGUCACGGCUAACUACGUGCCAGCAGCCGCGGUAAUACGUAGGUGGCGAGCGUUGUCCGGAAUGAUUGGGCUUAAAGGGUGCGCAGGCGGUCCUGCAAGUCUGGAGUGAAACGCAUGAGCUCAACUCAGGAAUGGCCUUGGAAACUGGAGGACUGGAGAGCAGGAGAGGGCGGUGGAACGCCAUGUGUAGCGGUAAAAUGCGUAGAUAUAUGGAAGAACACCAGUGGCGAAGGCGGCCGCCUGGGCUGUUGCUGACGCUGAGGCACGAAAGCGUGGGGAGCAAAUAGGAUUAGAUACCCCAGUAGUC
Molecule: ribosomal RNA, 465 nt
Filed under: uncultured bacterium
Lineage: Bacteria
Description: partial 16S ribosomal RNA
Rfam family: Bacterial small subunit ribosomal RNA
Source: RNAcentral